AGCAGCCGCGGUAAUUCCAGCUCCAAUAGCGUAUAUUAAAGUUGUUGCAGUUAAAAAGCUCGUAGUUGAAUUUCGGGAUCAGCAGGUUGGUCGUGCCUCUGGUAUGCACUGGUUUCGCUGAUUCCUCCUCUCUGAAGAACUGUAAUGUCAUUAAUUUGGUGUUGCAGGGAAACAGGACUGUUACUUUGAAAAAAUUAGAGUGUUUAAAGCAAGCUAACGCUUGAAUACAUUAGCAUGGAAUAAUGAAAUAGGACGUUUGAUCCUAUUUUGUUGGUUUCUAGGAUUGACGUAAUGAUUAAUAGGGAUAGUUGGGGGCAUUAGUAUUCAAUUGUCAGAGGUGAAAUUCUUGGAUUUAUUGAAGACUAACUACUGCGAAAGCAUUUGCCAAGGAUGUUUUCAUUAAUCAAGAACGAAAGUUAGGGGAUCGAAGACGAUCAGAUACCGUCGUAGUCUUAACCAUAAACUAUGCCGACUAGGGAUCGGAUGAUGUUAAUUUUUUAAUGACUCA
Molecule: ribosomal RNA, 508 nt
Filed under: uncultured Glomeromycotina
Lineage: Eukaryota; Fungi; Glomeromycota
Description: SSU rRNA
Rfam family: Eukaryotic small subunit ribosomal RNA
Source: RNAcentral